AGAGUUUGAUCCUGGCUCAGGAUGAACGCUAGCGGCAGGCUUAAUACAUGCAAGUCGAGGGGCAGCGCGGGUAGCAAUACCUGGCGGCGGCCGGCAAACGGGUGAGGAACAUGUACGCAACCUUCCUUUAACUGGAGGAUAGCCCAUCGAAAGAUGGAUUAAUACUCCGUAACAUAAUGAUAAGGCAUCUUAUUAUUAUUAUAGCUCCGGCGGUUAAAGAUGGGCGUGCAACUGAUUAGAUAGUUGGUGAGGUAAUGGCUCACCAAGUCUGCGAUCAGUAACUGGUGUGAGAGCACGACCAGUCACACGGGCACUGAGACACGGGCCCGACUCCUACGGGAGGCAGCAGUAAGGAAUAUUGGUCAAUGGACGCAAGUCUGAACCAGCCAUGCCGCGUGGAGGAUUAAGGCCCUUGGGUUGUAAACUCCUUUUAUCUGGGAAGAAAUGCAUUUUUUCUAAAGUGCUUGACGGUACCAGAGGAAUAAGCACCGGCUAACUCCGUGCCAGCAGCCGCGGUAAUACGGAG
This 526-nucleotide ribosomal RNA is filed under the name uncultured Sphingobacteriales bacterium. RNAcentral's name for it is "bacterial SSU rRNA". It matches the Rfam family "Bacterial small subunit ribosomal RNA", at positions 8 to 530 of the family's 1533-position model. Lineage: Bacteria; Pseudomonadati; Bacteroidota; Sphingobacteriia; Sphingobacteriales. The record is from RNAcentral. RNAcentral also lists the same sequence under 2 other names.